RNAcentral lists this long non-coding RNA (16574 nucleotides) under Nicotiana tabacum (common tobacco). RNAcentral describes it as "long non-coding RNA (NTAB_LNC002011)". Lineage: Eukaryota; Viridiplantae; Streptophyta; Magnoliopsida; Solanales; Solanaceae. The record is from RNAcentral.
GAAGAUUUUGAUCCUAGGAAAAAGUUCAUCAGACUAGGUCUUCUAUCUCAGGAGAAAGAUCCAUCAGCCUAAGAUUUUGAUCCUAGGAGAAAAUUCAUCAAACUAGGUCCUUUUUUGUUAUCUUAGGAGAAAGAUUUAUCAGACUAAGUUUUGUUUUGUUAUCUUAGGAGAAAGAUUCAUCAAACUAAGAUUUUUAUACUAGGAGAAAGAUUCAUCAGACUAAGUUUUCUUAUCUUAGGAGAAAAGAUUCAUCAGACUAAGAUUUUGAUCUUAGAAGAAAGUUCAUCAAACUAGGUUUUCUAUCUUAGUAGAAAGAUUCAUCAGACUAAGAUUUUUAUUGGGAGGAAAAUCCAUCUGACUAGGACUUUUUAUCCUAGGAGGAAAAAUAUGGAGAUCAAUGGCAAGGUUUUGUGCACAAUGGCAAGGUUUUGUGCACAAUAGCAAGACAAAUAAAGGCGAAUAUUUGAGGAACUUCCCUUUGUCGGCUCUUCUCUUCUUUUCUUUUUCUUCUCUUUUUUUUUUGUUUUUUUUUCUUUUUUUUGAACCACUUUCCUUGAACUGCCUUGUUCCUGUUUCACACAAAGAAAAAUUUGUCAGUUUUGAAAAUGGUGGUCAGUUUGUAGCCUUGAGUCUUGGGCAACUUGGCUUCUUCUCAAUCAGCUUGAGUCGGUUUCAAGAAACUUUUGCUCUACAUAAACCCUAAUUAUUUCACACCCAGUACCAUUUAUAUUUGUGGCUCAAUCAGCCUUAUCCCAACUGGAGAUCUUUUCUUAGAUGACCUUUUCUGAUAUCUUGAGUGACUUCCUGCUUUUGAGCAAUUUGUCUGUCAGAGAGAAUCACAAGUUAUCUUUGCUUGCGCCAAGUAGGUUGACAAGAGUCUUUUGGGGGAGCUUUUGCAUGAAUCCUAAAGGCAUGUUACAAGUAGGAACUGAGUAUGCUGGCCAAAUUUACUUUGUGCAACUAAAAAGCUGGUAGCAGAUUUUGAAAUCUUUUUUUGCUUGUUUUGACAGGACUAACUUAGAGUGAAGGACACAAUAAUGCAAAGAAACAAGUAUUAACAAGAAGUGCCCCUGUUGGAAGGACGGAAGGAAGAGUUUUUUUUCAAUAACUAGCCUUAAUGAUCAUGACAUGCAUUUUGGACUUGAUAGUCAAUCUAUCAAACUAACCAAAUCUUUUCUUUUACCAUUCUUAUGACCUUUGAAGUCGGGCUUGUUCGUGAUGAUCCUUUGCAUCGGCUUCAUGACUCACUUUCGACAAGUGUUGGCCCAAGGUGUUUUCACGAACCAGUCUCUCUCAUUUAUUCAUCUCUGCUUACCGUCGUCUUACAGUGCCCAUGAGGGUUUUUAAUAGUAAGACUCUCUCAUUUUUCUUCUUUAUUUUUCUUUUUCUUUUGCUUUCUUGUGCGAGCAUCUUGACAGUGUUCUAUGUCGUGUGAAAACUAUUGUUCAUUGCAUGCGUCUCUUGGCAUUCUUGAAGGCUGAAUAGGAGGUCUUUAUUUGGAAGGUUUUUGGAUAGGGUUGGAAAGAAAUGACGUCAUGAAAUUUUAAAAUAGACUCAAAGUAAAGGGUUGUAGAUUUACAACUCUUGGAAUCGACUCUUUCAAAAGUGAAAUAAAAUCUUUUCCCCAGUUUCAGCUAUUGGGAUUUUUUUUUUUUGGAAUUCUUAUUUGGUUGGACCAAACCGUGAGGUUGCCUACGUAUCCUUUAUUAAGGAAUCAGGUCGAACGUAGUUCAAACAUCUGACCUAACUAUUUUUCAUCUUUGUUUCUGUUUCGUUUUUUUUCUUUUUCUAUUUUUUACUUUUCGUUUUCAAAACAAGUUGCCCCAAUUUCUAUUUUCUGGGCGCAUGGACCAUUGACAGUUCUUUUCUUCUUCAUCUUUUUUCACUUGAAAUUUCUAUGAAUUGCCCCAGUUUGUACUCUUGAGACAUUGAAUUUUUUUAUUUUUCUUUUUUUUUCAUUUUUUGUUUUUUUAAUCUUCAUUCUAUACUUGAUUCCAAAAGAGGGUGGUCAAAGAAAAUAACACAAGUUCAAAAGGGGUAACAAAGGGUAUAAAGUGUUUGGAUAGCAAAAAGGGCCUCCCAGCCUCGAGAACGUCAAUUAUAGUAUCUUUUCGCGAUCACAUCAUUGAUGAACAUGCUUGUCUUCUUGGGUCUUUUUUAGUAUAAAGCUGUAUGAGCAAUACUUUCCUCGCUGUGAAUGACCCUUGUCAAUUUGGGUGACUUUCCUUGGAUUUUGUCUUGAUUUAGAAGAUGUAUUUUGCAAUUUUCAUGUUGUCUGGAAUACACCUUCUAUUGAAAACACUUUCUAUCUCUUAGUGCUAAACAAACUUCAACCCAUCCCAUUAUCCUUAAGCCCGAUCUUCUCAAAUGACUCAAAAGGUAGAGAUCCUUAACUUCCAUGAGCAUGACUAUUUUGGUUCCAUAUAAAAUUGGCUCAUGCUUAUUGUUUAAAUGUUUUAUGUCUCUAUUCAUCUUCGAAAAUGUCUCUUUCUCACUUAUCCAAUUCAAGACUAAAUCAGUUUUCUAAGAUCUGGCCAAAAUUCCGCAUGCAUGUCAUGUCAUUAGAACUAGCAUGAAAAGAACUAUGCACAAAAUGGCUAACUACUUUUGUUUAAUUGAAUAAAGGAUAGAAAGGUCCAAUAGCACAAAAAGAAGAAGAAAAGAUGACAAAAUAAGCUACCAUGACUGAAGGAGGAGUGACUUUCUAGUUACUAAGCGAUAUCUUAGCCACACAUUCGCACAUCAGCACUACUAUGGCAUUUGACCAUUUUGAUUUCUUUGGAUUCAACACUCAAAUUUUGACAAUCAUCCCGAGCAGCCCAUGUCUUAUUGCUCAAAUCUGGUAAAGUCAACCUCACAUUUGCCUCCAUUAAAUUUUUUGCCGCCAAAUUGCCUACUUGCCCUCUCGUGAUCUUGGAUCAACAACAAUGGUGCUUGUUCCAUUGGUUGAGAAGAUGUUUUUAUUUUUGAAAGAUCUUGGAUUGUUUUUGUGACUCGCCAUUGCAAACCAACUACCUUUGACUAGCUUUUAUUUCAAAACAACAGGCAUGUUAGAAUAAACACUCUCUUUCUUUUCUCUUUUUUUUUGUUUUUAACCAUUCGAUCGAACUUGAUGUGGGUUGCCUACGUAUCAUGACGCCGCAUUAAUCAGAUCUUUGCAUAGUUCGAGAAGAUCAGGAAUAAAGUAAAUAAACUAACUUUUUUUGGAUUUUGAAUUUUAUUUUACUUUUUCGAAAGAAAGACUUAUAAAGAAGAAAGAGAAUAGUUUUGGAUUUUGAUUUUUCUUCAGAAUGUUUGCAAAGAAAGACUUCUAAAGAAGAAAGAUUUUUUUUUUUGAAUUUAUGAAAGAAAUACUUCUAAAAAAAGAAAAUAUUUUUGAAUCUUGAAUUUUCUUUUCAAUUUUUGAAGAACAAAAAAAAAAUUGGAUUUUGAGAAGAAACUAAAAGAAAAUAUUUUUCUAUAUUUUAUUUUUUUAAAAAAAAUUGGGGUCUAAAAGAAAGAAUUUCUAAGGAAGCAAGUAAUGGAAAAUAUUUUUGGAUUUUUUUUUAAAAGAAAUUGUGGUCCCAAAGAAUGACUUUUCUAAAGUAAAGGAAAAUAUUUUUGAAGUUUUUUUUAAAAUGUGGGCCGGAACCGAUGAGGUUUGCCUACGUAUCUCAAAUUCGGUAAGAAACAGACCCGCGUAGUUCGGCCGUUUUGACAUAAUUGAAAAAACAUGAUGUUGACUCACUUUCAUUUUUUUGAAAUACAUUUUGUGUUUCUCUUUUUUUCAAAAUUUUGGCAGAAUUUCGAGGCAUUUUAAAUGUGAUGACCCAAAAGAUCAUCACUUGUGUUGCAAUAAAAUUCUACAUUCCGAGGACUUAAAAAACCUCCCUAAGCACCACCUCGAUUUGCGUGCAUCGUCCGGACGCAUAGCCUGAAAGCUUAAAUGUGAAAAUCUGUGAAAAAUGAUAAGUUUUGACGGUAAAAUGAAUAAAUUUGACUUCAAUCAAUAUUUUGGGUAAACGGACCCGGACCCGUGAUUUGACGGUCCUGGAGGGUCCGUAGGAAAAUAUGGGACUUGAGCGUAUGCCUGGAAUCGGAUUCCGAGGUCCCAAUCCCGAGAAACGAAUUUUUUAAAGAAAAUUAUUUUCUAAAAUUGUUUAAAGAAAUUUGAAAUGAAAUUUGUUUAGAACAUGGUGGUAUCGGGCCCUUAUUUUGGUUCAGGCAUCCGGUACUGGUCUUAUAUAUGAUUUAAGACAUUUCUGUGAAAUUUGGUGAAAAACGGAUGUCAUAUGACUGUAUUCGGACUUAAAUCGCAAAAUUUAUGUUUAACGAAGUUUUGAGAAAAUUUCAUUGAUCUCGAGAUUUAAUGUGAUGUUCAUGAUGUUAUUUUGAUUAUUUGAUUACACGAAUAAGUCCGUAGGAUGUUUUUGAGGUUUUGUGUGCGCUUGGUAUGGAGUUCCAAGGGCUCGGGUGAGUUUUGGGUAGGUUUCGGGGGGUCUAAGGCUUAAAAACUGAGCUUUUGCAGGCUCAGAGUGGUAGAGGACCUCUGAACAGGCAUGCGGUCUGCACGAUAUGGACUGUUGCCACGGAGAAGCCUGUGCGGCCGCACUAGUUUUGGUGCGGUCCGCGAUGAAGAACAAUUUACUGGUCCAACUUCGGAAGUCUAUAUCUUUUUAUCUACAGAGAAUUGUGAGAUAUUUCAAAAACAAAAGUUGUAGCUCUUCGUGUCUAGUUUCCAGAAAUGCAAAGAAUUCACAAUUUGGACAUCUUUAGAGAAAGUUAUGGCCGAAAUACGUAGACCUGUCACUGCAGAACACAGGAAGCCUGUGUGGCCGCAGUUGAUUUUGUGCGGUCCGCACACGACAUCUGAGGGCAGUAUAUUUAGACGGGAUUUUCAGUUAUUUUUCAUUUUUUAAGACCCCAAAAACAUAAGAGGCGAUUUUUCAAACAACCUUUCUUCUCCAAAGCAAUUGUAAGAAGUUUUUAACUAGUUUUCUUCAAUCAUUAACAUCUUUUAACAUGAUUUCAACUUCAAAUCAAUGAUUUUCAUUGGGGAAAUUAGGUGUUUUGGUAGAACCUAGGUUUUUCAAAAAUUGGGUAUUUCGACCUCGAUUUGAGGUCCGAUUUCAAAACAAAUACAUAUUUGAGCUCGUGGGGGAAUGGGUAAUCGGGUUUGGUUUAAACCUCGAUUUUGACCACGUGGGCCUGAGGGUGAUUUUGACUUUUUGGGGUAAAACUUUAGAAAACUCAUUUUCAUGCAUUCAAAUUGAUUCAUUUAAUGUUUAUUGAUGUAAUUAAGUAACUUGUAGCUAGAUACGAGCGAAUUGACGGAGGAAUCAAGGGGUAAAGCUAUAAUUGAAACUUGAGUUGUGUUCGAGGCAUCGAGGUAAGUGUUUAGUCUAACCUUAGCUUGAGGGAUUAGGAGUUAUGUCAUAUUUGCUAAUUGCUUCUUGUUGAGUACGACGUAUAGGCAUGGUGACGAGUAUCUAUACGUUGGUGACAAGCAUGACCGUGGGUCUUAUUUUGUGAUUUUCAUGACUUCGUUGUAUUAUUCAUGCCAUGGUGAAGAUUUCUAUUUGUUGUGUAAAGUUGUGGAAAGAAUUGUGACCUAUGAACAUUGAGGAGCGUUGGCUCCAGUAGUAUAACGAAUUGUGAAAUUAUAAGUGAUAAUUGAAACUCUAGAGUAUUGGUUCGAGUUGUGAAGUGAAUUGUGAAGUAAAAGUGAGAAGGAGAAGAGAUCAUUAUGUUUCCCCCUUACUGGGCUAUUUUUGAGUUGUGGUUCCCUUGCAUUGUGUUCUUAAUUGAUAUUACGAAUGCAUAGGUUGAUUCUUUGGGUUAGGUGUUGUAACAAGUUUAGUUAUAGCUGAGGUAGUUAGGUGUCGUAACAAGUUUGGUUAUAGCUGAGGUAGUUAGAUGUUGUAACACGUUUGGCUAUAGCAGAGGUAGUUAGAUGUUGUAACAAGUUUGGCUAUAGCAGAGGUAGUUAGAUGUUGUAACAAGUUUGGCUAUAGCUGAGGUAGUUAGAUGUUGUAACAAGUUUGGUUAUAGCUAAGGUAGUUAGAUGUUGUAACAAGUUCGGUUAUAGUUGUUUCUCCCUUGCCGGGAUAUUGUGAGAUAUCAUUGUUUUCUUACCGGGAUGUUUGUUGAUAUUAUUGUUCCCUUGCCGGAAUUCCUUGUGAUUAUUGUUGGCUUGUAAUUGGGAGCGGGUGGUACGCCUACCACAAGAUACAAUGAAAUGUGAGCGGGUGGUACGCCUACCACAAGAUACAAUGAAAUGGGAGCGGGUGGUACGCCUACCACAAGAUACAAUGAAAUGGGAGCGGGUGGUACGCCUACCACAAGAUAUAAUGAAAUGGGAGUGGGUAGUACGCCUACCACAAGAUACAAUGAAAUGGGAGCGGGUUGCACGCCUGCCACGAGAUACAUGAAAUGGGAGCGGGUGGCAUGCCUGCCACAAGAUAUGAGAAAUGGGAUCGGGUUGCACGCCUGCAACAAGAUGUGAAAAGAAAGUGAAAUCUGCCUUUGUUUUUCUUUAAUCUUGUUAGUGGUUGGAUUCCUUUAUAUUCUAUUGAUAUUCUGUUUUUACUUGUUUUUCCCCGAAGUAUGUUCCCCCCUCCCUAGUUUUAAUUGUUUAUUUUCGUAUUUCUUUUCCGCUAUAUAUAUUUGAACUUCAUAGGUUUAUUUGGUAGUUUGGUCCUGGCCUCAUCACUACUUCGUUGAGGUUAGGCUAGGCACUUACCAGCACAUGGGGUCGGUUGUGCUGAUAAUACACUCUGCACUCUUUUGUGCAGACCCCAGUGUUGUGGACUUCGGACCGUGGUGAGAUUGUUGAUUCUUGAUCAUCAGGCGACCCGAGGUAGUCCUGCAGGCAUCCGCGGGCCUUGGCGUCCCCUUCUAUCUACUAUUCCUAUUUUUUUCAUGCAUUUCUAGAGACAGUGUUGUAUUUAUUUCUUUCAGAACCUUUAUUUGUAGUAUUCUUAGACCGUCUGUGAAACUGUGACACCAAUUCUGGGUGAUUAAGGUUUAAGCUGUUGUAAUAGAUAUAUGUUCAGAUAUUCUAUUGUUUUCUUCCACUUAUUCUGAAUUUCCGUUGUUUACCCGUUAUUGUUUUAUAUAAUGUUAAAGAGAAUAGAAAUUGGUAAAAAGGUAAAUUGUCUAAUAAUUGGCUUGCCUAGCUAACAUUAGUAGGCGCCAUCACAACUCCCGAGGGUGAAAAAUUUGGGUCGUGACAUUAAAUACUGGGUUUUCAGAACCGGGUGAAUUCUCUAUCCUACCUCACUCUUGGUUUUUCUGUUGUUUUUCUUUUGUUAGCCGGUCAAUAUAUAAACCGAAAAGAAUAAAUGUACACAUAGCAUGUAAGAUACAUCAGGAUGGUCUGGUCUUUUGGGUACACCUGUCCUAGACGGACCCAACCCCUGUGUUGAGUCCCCAAAGUUAAAUGCACGUGAUGCAAACAAACGCUCCUACUAGGGAUCCGGCAUGAGGUUAUGUUAUUCUAGGUUUAAACCUUGGGUUGUGUUCUUGAUCAGGCUUACCCGAGCGGACAACUCGAGCCGAAGAGUGGGCAAACGUACCGGGAGCACGAAAGUCUACCCGGCCUUGUUGCUGGCCCAGCCUCGUUCUAUUUGGUAUAACUUCUAACAGAAAAGUGGGCCACGAACGUGUGCACCAUUUUUUAGAAGACUCAGGUGGGAGGCGUAAGAAAACAAUUUAAUAUAAUUCAAAUAAUAUCAAAGCGGUAAAUAAGCGGCAAUAAGCACAUUAGGUCCACAAAUACAGUAAUAUCAACAAAUAAUAAAGCCAAGCAUAGAUCAUAUUAACAAGCUCGAAUUCUGAACCCUGAACCAAAGAUCAUGGGUUCUUUUCCCCAGCAGAGUCGCUAGAGCUGUCACACCUCCUUUUUACACCCAAGAGGGGAUAUAAGGGAGUUUUUCAAAUUAAAGUGAUAUUAUUCGAAAUUGGAUUAUUUAUUUAAUUUUCAGAGUCUCCACUUGGAAUAAUUUAUGGUGUCCCAAGUCACCGGUUUAUUUUAAAGACCAAAUCGAGGAAAUUUCGACUUUAUUUUAAAAGUCUGCGAACCAGAAAUUCUACGUAAGGAAUUUUGUUAACCCGGGAGAAGGUGUUAGGCAUUCCCGGGUUCCGUGGUUCUAGCACGGUCGCUUAGUGAUUUGUACUUAGCUUAAGUCGUUUAACUACUCAUUUUUAGGACUUAUGUGCAUUUAUCUUUUUACCGCUUUUAAUCACUUGAUUUGUUCGUAAUGAAAGAAUUGAGUUAUGCGUACGUAUACUCAUUUCCUUUGGCGCGUCAAAAAUCAUGUCAUGCGUACGUGUCCAUAAUUAAUCACGCUUUAUUAAUUAAUAAGAAAACUUGGUUGAAGUUGCGCGAACGCAUCCCUCGAUUUAUUUUUUAGAAUUAAAUUCGUAAUUCUGUUAUGCGAACGUAUAUAUAAUCACAAUAAUAGUCUAAGCCAUGCCUAAAGCAAACUAACAGUGUUCAUUAUUCUUCCUAAAAUUUGAGAUUAUUGUGAGGCUUAAGAGUUAUACAUCCUUCUGACUUAGCACCACUCAUGGCAUAUUAUUAUUCCUUGCCAAGAAAGAAAUAACUCCAAAUUUUCCAUCUACCCAAAUUAAAAGCAUUUAUUCGAGAACCAAGACUACGUACAUCACAAUCGAAAUAAAAACUAAUUAAAAUAAUUUAAUUUCAAACUAAGUCAUGCCACUCAAACAAUGUAGAAACAAAAAUCAACCAACACACGCACCAAGCUAUUGUAAGAACAAUGAAAUGAGAAUAAAAAUUGAGAAAUAGGCCUUUUAUUGAUGAACAAAACUAAAUAUUGCAAAUCAAUCAGGCUGAACAAGGCAACAAUCUUGAGAUUGAAACAUCAAAAUUAAGAAUCGGAACCUCAAAUCGACACAGGAGAGCUCGAAACCCAAAUCGACCUCAGAUAAACUAGAACCUCCAAACAUCUGACAAAGCAGACCAUCUCUUAAUAUUUUUGCUCUUUAAAAUGUUUACCACUGCCGAAAACUUUGUGAACAGGAUGUUCCCUACCAAAAAGCCGACGAACUUUAGACUUAAACCACGACGUUACGGGAGGAGAUGACGUUGUUUUCUUAUCGUCAUCAGAAUAAGAAAAAGACGAAGAAGAGUGAUGGUUAUUAUUACUGAGAUAAAGUGUUUCAGUGAUUUUAUUUUUUAUAGAUUCUCUGGCUCAUCCGAUUUCUCCACUUUACACUCCUCGUGUUCCUACAUUAUCAGUAAAGUAAAACCCAAAUCUUGAAAUUCAGUCAAGUUAUGUGUCUAUUGUAUCUGAGAGAAAAAGUUGUAAAGAUUCAUUUUUGUGUGUUUGUAUUUCUUUCACUUUUUAAUUUUUUUGGAACAAAACAAGGAAAAGAUCAUAGAAUAAAGAUGAAAAACCUUAGCAAUCCUGUCGUUUUUAGUGUAGCUCCUAAGUCUAGGUAUUGAAAACUUAGGGUUGGGUUCCUAUAAUUGGGUAUUUUAUAUGGAGGUGGAAAGGGAUGAUGGCAAUUGGAUUAGAAGGGAAUAGAUGGCUAGGAUUAAAUCUUGCACUUAAGUGGGCUAAUGGGUUGGGAAGAAUGGGCUAAGGGUAAUUGGGUUGGACCAUGUCUUUUGGAUUUGAACUUAGGCUAAAAAGACCAAAUAAUACAAUGUAUCUAUAAAAAUGUAAAAAUCACUCUAAAUUAAAAUAAACUAAUAUAAAACUAAACACUACGAGUGAAACUAAUUUUUUGUAUUUUCAAAUGUUAUAAUACUAUAAAUAUAAAUAUACUAAUUGACUUUAACCUAAAGAUGAAAAUAUUUAUUUUAUUUUUUUUNNNNNNNNNNNNNNNNNNNNNNNNNNNNNNNNNNNNNNNNNNNNNNNNNNNNNNNNNNNNNNNNNNNNNNNNNNNNNNNNNNNNNNNNNNNNNNNNNNNNNNNNNNNNNNNNNNNNNNNNNNNNNNNNNNNNNNNNNNNNNNNNNNNNNNNNNNNNNNNNNNNNNNNNNNNNNNNNNNNNNNNNNNGUAAUUUUUAUUUUUUGUGAUAAAAUAAAGUAAAAGAGUCAAAACUAUUUAAUAUAAUGAUAUUAAACCUAAACUAAAUAUUUUACGCUAAAACGUGUAAAAUCUUGGGGAGGGUCAAAAAUUACAUGUCUACAGACUAGGAAUAUUAUCCUUCCAACCAUGUUGUAGCCAAUUCUGAUAGUAUUCAUUCUAGGUCCAAUGACCUCAUCUCAUCCAACACAACCACUCUAAUGACAUGACACAUCAAUACAGUCCAAAGCCAUAACCUGUGCAACUCGUGCACCCAAUAGCAACAUCCCCAAAUGUACUCAAAUCAUGAAAAAAAUGACUCAAACGGGAGGACUAUCCCGCAAGCUUAACAAGUACUGCCACAAUGAAAUACUGUAAAUUCAUCACACCCCGUAGGACCAUCACACGAAUCUAACACAGGUUCAUACCUCAACAUAAUUUUGCUGCAAUGUGUGCCCCAUCCAAACACUAAUCCAUGGCAUAUACCUCAAGCCACCUUGCUCAAAAUCAAUAACCACGCGCAACGACAUCAAGUACUCAAAGUGCAUUACCAUAACCAUGGAGAAGCAAAUGACAUAACACCACAUGAAACCCGAAAGAGCAUAACCAAUAUGCUAUACAUCAAGCGAUAUCCAAUACUCUUCUCGCUCAAAUCCGUUAUAGGACUCCAAUAGAACCACACUAUAUGUGUAUACAACCAACAAAUCAUGACCCCUCAUAAUAUAGAAGAGUAGCUCAUAGAUCACUCCAGAACACGAAUAAGCUCAACAAUAAUCGAAUGGCACAUCCCUCAAUAAUAGCAAUUCAAAGUCAACAAAUCUGACCCGGUACAGAACACACCUCCAUGUUGGGCCUACCAAUGAACCCCAAAUCUACUCUGGUCCCCCACGAUAGAUAAAUAACCCUCUGAAAGUCUAAAUGACUGAAUCACAACAUAUACUAACCUCUGACUAAACUUGGAUACUUUUUACGGUCGACAACCACGAAACAAUCUACUCACCAGAACUCUCAAUCUCUAAAUCCAUAGAAUAUACGAAUCACCAUCUCUGAUCUCAACUCCACCGCCUAAAUGCCCAUACUUCUCCAAUUACACAGUCACCCCACGAGGAAUACUUCUAGAAGUCUUCUAUACCACAAAGCAAAAAUUGAACUCCAGCAGUCGAUCAAACAAGAGAGUGUCGCAAUACCAAUAAAGUAUCCAUAACUCCCACACAUCGCCCUUUCUGAAAUGUAUAAUCUCAUUAAGCCAUACCAGUUAGUAAUAUCAUUUACCUAGUCAUCAGAAAUUGUCCAUGUUGCUUAAGAAUUUAUGACCUUCCUUUCAGAAUUGAACUGUGACCUUACACAUGCAAAUCCCAACCUUACACAACUUACCACAUAUACCAUGUCAUCCCAUGAUAAAUAUGAGAACUUCAUAAUCCACUUCGAGUCACAAGCAACUAAGUACUCAACUAGCCAAGAACUUUUCAUUUGACCCCAUCUAGGAGAAGAUCACUACACAUCACAUGAUCCUCACGCCAGUAGAAGAUAUACCUCUCUAACCAUGGUAGAAACCACCAAGAACUCUCUGAAUCCCAUUUGCUCAAAACCCAACCGUCAGGAUUGAAUCCUUCUACCCCAACCAAGCUACACAUGUCACCAAAACUCAAGCGCAUCACCACGAAACACAUGUAGAAACUCAUUACCUCAUAAACACCCAAAGAACUAAUCAUACCCAUUACCAUGUCAAUCCAACCUACUACCAAGCUAUCCUAUUUAUUCGAGUUCCUUCUGAAUUGCAUUCACAUUGAUACUUCUCCUCACCAUAAUACCUCAAUCCUCAAUCCAGACUCACCACAUGAGACCCUAACAUAAACCACACUGCCCUAAGGCUCAUAAGCCGCUGAAUGCUCUCUUAAGCACCCCAAAAGUACCACAAUCGAGAUACUCACUCCAAAGAGACCUUCUAUGAAUUUCAAGUUGUUCAUCUUACUUUCUUGAUACUGAAAUGUAUAAUCCACAAUGAUGUAGAAACACUGCGAGCCUCGACACUAUCCAAUGUAACUCUUAGCUUCAAGCCACAUACGAACCCCCAAAAAUUCUCAAUUGCCAUAUAUAAAUAUUGAAUUCAUUAGAACCAUUCUCGAGAGUUAUCCACUCUGCUUAAAUCUUGAUUAGACAGAUCAAAUGGGCUAAUCGACCUUAGCCCCAUUAGCACUCCAACACCCAAGGAUGUAACCCCACCUAAAUGCAACCAGAUAAAUUUCUGCUCCACGAACAUUAUAUCCUUAACCAAUAAGAACUCAAAUCAUUCCAUGAUUCUCAUAUACUCAUAUAAUCUAAUAAAACUCAUACCCAGAAAUUUCCUUUACUCGAGUCAUCCUUGAUCUCAACCUCUGCAAGUCAUAACUGAUUCACCAGUAUACCUCAAACUGAAACUAAUAUGACACUUAGUCGUGCAAUCAACUUAUCAAUAGUAGACUCCCCCCUUGGAUAAAAGCCAUAGAUCAAAACACACAAAAACUCACAAUGUCCAUACUCUAUUACUUCCAUAAUACCAUAGUGAGAUUGAACUAAAUCCUUCAUAAGCUUGUUCAACACAACCAUCUAGUACUUCAAUCAUCUACAAAUCUCGCAUUUACCCUCGUAAUAGUCAAGACAACUCUCAUACGCGAUCCAAACUCAAUCUGCAGCAUAUAUAAUUCACUGGUAAAGGAAGACUCGCUACAAAAGAGCAUAGGGAUCACACGCCCUCAGGACACCCUACAGGAGAUAACCCACCUACUUUGCCUCAAACUAACAUCUCUUUAUACCUUUCCACCAUCAUAAACAUCACGCAAUCACUUAAUAUUCCUGAGUCUGAACUCAUAUCAUGACAUAAAAUCUACUUCGUUCCCCAACUAAACAAUAUGAAAAGAUCCUUCAACACACCCAUAACUCGGGGCUAUUCAUCAAAUCAAGAUGGAAAUCAAGAACCAAAUAGUUCUUUCUACCCUCAAGAAGACCCUCCUCAUCACAUCCAAAUCAUAUGAACAUAUCUCGCAGUCACAUCAUACUCAUCACGUAGCCAUCCAGUCAUUACUUCCACUAAUAUGGACACUACCGAACAUAUAAAUCCAAAAGCACGCUCUCACACAAUCAACACCUUAGUGCUCAAGCUAGAGGCAAAGCCCGGACCCAAGUCAUCCAGACUGGCCCAACAUCAACACACAAAAAUCACAUCUCGCCUCUCAUUUAGGGAAUCACAAGCCGUCGAUGCACAGCUGAUACCAAGUGCUCAUGCGCGCAUAUGAAUGCGUGGAAGGAAUUUCAAGAGUUACAUUUCAAGAUGAAUCAAUGCCGCACGACAAGAAUUUCAAGAAUGUGGGAUUUCCUAAAGGUUUUGCAGCCUCUCAAAGAUAGGUACAGACGUCUUUGUACCAAUCCGUGAGACUCUACUAAACCUUUCAUGACUCGUGAGACCUAUGUAACCUAGGCUCUGAUACUAACUUGUCACGAACUAAAACUAACCCUAUCGUGAUGGCGCCUAAAGUGGUACUAGGCAAGCCGAUACACUACCAAACCCAAUCACUAUUUUUAUUUUUAAGACAAAACCAAAGUUAUUUAACAAUAAACCAGCAUAAGGAGCUUAAAUCAAAACAACAGUGCGGAAAAAAAGCCCGACAUCAGGGUAUCACUAGUCAUGAGCAUUUACUACAACCGUCUGACAACAUCAAGACUAACAUAGCCUAAAAAUAACUGAAUACAACUAAGGGAGGAUAAAGAGGGAGAAAAGUAGGGCUGGGAUUGUCAGGCAGCUACCUUACUAACUCUGAUGGACCGUCCAUUGAUUAAUCAACACCCGCUAUCGGGUUUAGAAAUACCCGGAUCUACACACAAUGUGCCGGGAGUAAUGUGAGUACAUCAACUCACUAAGUAAUAAAAGUAAAUAGAGACUGAGCAGUAAAACCAUUUAAAACAUCUUUCAACAGUCUUCAAUGAAGUGAUGAAACAGUGAGUAAAAAUGGUGAAAACAUAUACAGCCCCUUAGGCAAAACUCACUCGUAUAUAGCCCCUCGGCAAACAUCACUCGUGAACAUCCCCUCGGGCAAACAUGAAUCAUAAACAGCCUCUCGGGCAAACCUCACAAUCACUCAUAUACAGACCCUCGGGCAUUACUUCAUAUCACUCGUAAACAGCCCCUCGGGCACAAUAUGAAUCAAGAACAGCCCCUGGGGCAAAACAUCGUAUCACUCACUCAGGGUACCCAUGCUCACUAGGGCUGUACAGACUCCGGAGGGGCUCCUACAACCCAAGCACUAUAACAAGUGACCUCGUGGAAUAAAUCAAUCAGGCCCUCCUUUUUAUCACUCGAGGGGUAUAUAAGAGAGUUUUUCCAAUUAAAGUGACAUAAAUCGAAAUGGAAUUAUUUUAUUUAUUUAUCAGAGUCUCCACUUAGAAUAAUUUAUUUGGUGUCCCAAGUCACCGGUUUAUUUUAAAUCCUAAGUCGAGGAGAAUUUGGACUUUAUUUAAAAUCUGCAAAACCAGAAAUUCUAGAUAAGGAAUUCUGUUAACAUGGAGAAAGUGUUAGGCAUUUUCGAGUUUCAUAGUUCGAGCACGGUCGCUUAACUAUUAAUAAUUGGCAUAUUAUCUAAUUUAUUACAUGUUUUAAACCUAGUGUGCAUUUUUAAAUUUAUUUAUUUAAAUCGCUUUUUAGGAUAUAUGGAAUUUAUUUUUUUGAACAAGUUACGAUUAUCGUACACUUGUCAUUUUGGAACAUACCGCAAAACACGCCACAUGAAAUGCACCCGUGAUUCGCGAUAUGUUUAUUUUAUUAUUGUUCAAAGUUGUUAUGAUCGGGUCACAUGAAGUGCACACCUGAAUUUGGGUUAGGUAUCAUGACUAUGCCACGGGAAUCGUACCCACAGUCACGAUGAUUUAUUAAUCGCGCCUAAAGCAAGCUACGAUGUAUUUAUUUGGUCCUAAAUUGAAUAUGUAGUUUAUUUGGUCCUCGAGUUGUCUUAUAUUUUAGAAUUUAUUAGUAGUUGGAUAAGGAACUCAUUUAGCCUUUGACUUUUUAACCUGAAGCUAUCUUUGGCUUUUCUGCAUUGUGUUCCACCAAAUGGUUGAUUGAAGUCAAGCGCAAGAGCCAAAUGUAUUUGCAUUUUCAAAUAAUAUCAAAACACAUCCAAGGAAAGGAAGUAAGGAAUAAAAAGGGAAACUAUGCCAUGUUCAUUAUAAAGGGUUAUGUGUACAGAUUUACCAACCCUAAGUAUCUCACAGAAUGAAGCUAAAGGCAAAAAAAACACAGUAUCUUAUAAUCGAGGGAAAUCGCAGAAAAACAAAGCGAACACUUGACGAGCUGUGAAAGUAUAUCAUACACAUAUGUCAUCAAACACAGGAAUAAAAAGCAAAUCCAUCUAAUUAGCUUUCAUCAAACACAGAAAUAACCAAAACAUGCAGCAAAUUUAAAAUAAAAAGUAGCAGACCGGUACUUGGGCAGAACGAACAAAAUAGCUUAUCAUAGCUAAAGCACAUGUCAUAGGUAUAAAUUAUAUAUACUGUUUUUCAACAAACAAACAACCACAUUAAGACCACAUCCUUAGGAAUUGAUUAAGUGCUACUGAUUACUAACAACAUGAGGACAUUGAACAGGGUGAUUUCAAACCAUUAUAUGCCUAUUUGUAUUAAUUUGUUACCGUUUGAAAUAAGAUCUCAAAACACAAACAAAUCGUAUAGCAUUAUUAGGAAAGGAUAAUUGCAUAGAUACAACAAUAAUCAGAAAUUCAUUGAAGACAAAAGGAAUUCAUUCAUUUUUUGACUUAACGGUGGCGUAAAUCACAACAAAGUACCUGCGUGUGUAGAUAUCACCUCCAAAACUCCAACUAAAGGCUAGAUGAGAAAUGAGCUUAGCACAGCGGAAAACCAAUAGAUCCGAACAAGGAGCAACAGCAAAUUUUCAACCAUAGUAGCAUUUUAAAACCCAGAAAAAUAGAAACAAACAGUAGCGGUUUGUUCCAGCCUUGGAGCUCGUCAGCGAGGGAAGCUCAGGCACAAGAGGGAUUUAUAGGAGGAGAAAUUGAAGUGUUGAUGGCUGUUUUUGGGACUUUUUGGUAUAGGAAUUUCAGUUGGGUUUUCAGAGCUUUUACAUGGGUUUGGGGCUGAUUUGAGCUCGAGUAUUAGAGCUGAAAAUGGUGGUGUUCGUGGUGUUCUAAGAGAGGUCCAUGGCUGAAAUUUUGGGCUAAUCCCAUCCCCCUUUCGUUUUUCUUUUCCCGGAUCCCCUCUCUCACUGUAUCGUCCUACCUUCCUCUCUAUCUAUGUGUGUCUUUUUUCAAUUGAAAGAAAGAAGCCAUCUCAAAUCAGAAGGGGAAAGAGGCUGAGGUACUACCGCUAGAAGCUAAUCUCAGAGGAAAGGAUUUGUUGUCUUUGCUCUCUGUUAGAAGUGAGGAAGAAGAAGAUGGGUGAGCUAUUUUGGAAGAUGAUGAGGGAAUGCAGAAGAAGGGGAAAAGCUGCGCUGUUUUGGGUGUUAGGGAUCUCCUCAAAUAAGGUCUAUUAAUGUGUGUUAGGUCUGGGGAUUUAAGGGUAAAAAUGGGGAACGGGAA